AUCAAUGACUAUGGUUCGGCGGGGCGCAUGGACACGAAUGAUAGCUUACGAUUGGCGAGCUUGUGGCACUCGAUGCACGCAAUCUCACAGCAGCUAUCGCCGCUCGUCAGUUGCACCGGCAUCGAACUCCUUAAAGCCGAUAAUUUUGAUCUCCACUGCUUCUAGUCUCUCACUGGGAACCCAGAGAGACCGACAGGUCAAGGCCGCCGCUGAGUGAGUUGAGCUUCCCUAUUAGAAGGGAAACCUAGAGAGACCGGCUGGUCAGGGGCGCCACUGAGUGAGUUGAGCUUCCCUACUAGAAGGGCUGCUAAACGAGAUGAAGAUGGUACUGAGGAAGGUCACCGGAAACCCCACAAAUUAUUUCCUGGUGUGCUCUGAAAAGACAAUGUGAACUGGGUUUCUUGAAGUGGGGGUUUCAAAAGCCCAGAUCCUUAUGGCUCUACUAGGCUUGGCAUUGCAUUUGAUGAUGAAGGAAAAGCUCACAAAGACUACUACUUGGGGUUCAAAUGCUUGGUUAAGAAGCACCUGAGAUGGUGAUGAAGAUGAGGAUGCAUAAAGCUAGUAAACGAAGAGGUCCCAUCUGAUUUGUCCAGGAGCAAAGUAGCCCAGUUAAAAGAAAGUCAUGCAGCAAAAGAAACAUAUGUUGGGGCAGGGGAGGGGUAACCUUUUUCUUUUCUUUUUUCUCUGUAGAGAGGAAAUUCAAGCAGUGAGGAAAAUUUUCUUCUGGUAAACUUGUGCAGUGAUGCAAUACUAGUAGCCUUUUUCUGUUGGCAGCCCUUGUAUGUGAUGGAAACUGGAGUCAACCGCAUUUCGUGGGAUGGCUGGGUACACCAGUUUGAUCUGUGCAUGUUUCUUAUUAGUACUUUCGGGGUAUUUCCCUAUUCUUCAAAAGGUUCUAUCCUUCUACGCUCCAAUCUCAAUUCUGUGGAAAGCUUUCAACGGUUUCCUCAUGAAACAUCAGUGUGCAUAUGGUUACUCGUCUCUUUAUUCUUCUCCAUAUACUGCUAUAUGGAACCUUUUGCAGCAUCAUAAUGUAGUAAAAGUUGUGGUGGGUCCAAGUCCCUCAGCUAUUUAAUUGAUAUCCAAUUGAAUUCUUAACAUGGCAAGAGAGGUGGCUGCUUGCGUGAUGGUGUUAAUGCGUAAAGCUCUUCAGUUUUAGGAUGAUCUGUGUUCCACGAAGGAUGAGGACCUCCCAAUGUUCUUCCAAUUUGAACAAAUGUUUGAUUCUGAGGUAGUCAAGUCAAAUGUGUUCGUUGUUGUUUGUUUUGACUAUGAUGAUAUUCUUCAAUUUUCUAUUCAACAUUUGUCUUUUCAAUCUGUGUAAAGUAAUUUUGUCUUGUGAUUGUUUUAUACAGUUUUUACUGCUUACCAAUUUUGCAAAUCAGCUAGACCUUGUUCAUCCUCC
Malania oleifera is the source of this 1405-nucleotide long non-coding RNA. RefSeq lists it as uncharacterized. The transcript has 4 exons. The record is from RefSeq and is a predicted model, not a curated record. NCBI's taxonomy places the organism in Eukaryota, Viridiplantae, Streptophyta, Magnoliopsida, Santalales, Ximeniaceae.